This is an unclassified non-coding RNA of Callithrix jacchus (white-tufted-ear marmoset), 283 nucleotides long. It matches the Rfam family "Metazoan signal recognition particle RNA". From Rfam's summary of the family: The signal recognition particle (SRP) is a universally conserved ribonucleoprotein. It is involved in the co-translational targeting of proteins to membranes. The record is from Ensembl. NCBI's taxonomy places the organism in Eukaryota, Metazoa, Chordata, Mammalia, Primates, Cebidae.
GCAGGGUGCAGUGGCAUGUGCCCAUUAGUCCCAGCUACUUGGGAGGCUGAGGUGGGAGGAUCACUUGAGCCCAGGAGUUCUGGGCUGUUGUGUGCCAUGCCAAUCGGGUGUCCAAACUAAGAUCAGCAUCAAUAUGGUGACCUCCCGGGAGCGGAGAACUACCAGGUUGCCUAAGGAGGGGUGAAUCAGCCCAGGUAGGAAAUGGAGCAGGUCAAUAGUGGGAUUACGCCUGUGAAUAGCCACUGCACUCCAACCUGGGCAAUAUAGCAAGACCCCGUCUCUU